UUUGACCUCAAAUCAGGUAGGACUACCCGCUGAACUUAAGCAUAUCAAUAAUAAGCAAGGA
This 61-nucleotide ribosomal RNA is filed under the name Flammulina velutipes. Its description in RNAcentral is "partial 28S ribosomal RNA". Lineage: Eukaryota; Fungi; Basidiomycota; Agaricomycetes; Agaricales; Physalacriaceae. The record is from RNAcentral.